GCCAGUGCAGUGCAGUGGUUUGAGCAUUGGACUAUGACUCUGAAGACCAGGGUCCAAAUCCCUGCUGUGCCA
Phrynosoma platyrhinos (Desert horned lizard) is the source of this 72-nucleotide non-coding RNA. The record is from the annotation of a GenBank genome assembly. NCBI's taxonomy places the organism in Eukaryota, Metazoa, Chordata, Lepidosauria, Squamata, Phrynosomatidae.